RNAcentral lists this long non-coding RNA (1845 nucleotides) under Homo sapiens (human). RNAcentral describes it as "long independently transcribed non-coding RNA 2436, transcript variant 4 (LINC02436)". Lineage: Eukaryota; Metazoa; Chordata; Mammalia; Primates; Hominidae. The record is from RNAcentral.
AGAGCCUCAAAGAGCACCCAGCAUAACUGUGGGAGAAUAGUAAGCAUUGGACACAAAAUGUUGAAAACAUUCAAGUACGGAAUAAACUAUUACUGCGAAUACGCUCAUAUGACACAAGAACAAUCUCUGAGCUUCUUUGAGGAUGUCCAGAUGACUGCUGACUGCACUAAUUGCAUCAAUCGUGUAUCCAUACAGGUUCUUUCUAUAAAAUAGUGGUCGCUAGUUAUGAGGCGUUAAGCCUUCAUGGAUAUAAACAGACUAUUCCACCUAAGUGAUCUGGCAGAAGCUUAGUUUUCUACCACAACAUCCACCGUCCUCCCUCCCUCCCUUCCUAGCUGGUCAGAAAAGCUACUCAGAAUAAAGACUACAUUUCCCAGCCAUCUUUGCAGCUAGGUUUAUCCACCUGACUAAAUUCCACCGGCCUGCCACAAGAAUACGAAGGCCAGAGCUCCAGCAGCUGUUGGAGCCACGAUGUGACCCUGAAGGCAGGAAACUCAGCUUUGGAAGGUAGAGAGCCUGGGCAGGACCUUGCUCUGUCACCCAGGCUGUAGUGCAAUGGUGUGAUCUCAGCUUACUGCAGCCUCAACCUCCUGGGCUCAAGUGAUCCUACCACAGCUUCCUGAGUAGCUGGGACUACAGUAACUCCAGGUUGAAGAACUUCUACUUAUAGGCAUCUAUUCAACGAAGACGAAUCCUGGAAUGGGGAUGGAAAUGAUGGCUCAUGUCUUAGCAAACUACCAGUACGUCUACUAGAACCGGAACUGAUCCGAGAGGACAGGGAAGUCAGUGUGGGCGGCUCUAAGGAGCCUCCCUCUCUACAGCUGCGGCUCAGAGGAUUACGGCGCUUCAUCCACAAGGCAACAUUGCACAAGUAGCUUUUGAACAAAAGUCAUGGAUACUAUUAAUGAUAUGUUCCCACACACAUUUAGUGUCGUCUCAAAAUUCACGCUGUCAACUGUCUCUAGGAAUCAUUUCCAUCUGAGAACAGACCACACAAAGACACAGUGAAACUCAGUUUCUGCAGAAUUUGAUUUCAUUUGAGUUACUGGGGAACAAAGCAAUUAGACAAUGAAUAAUAGCUCAAGACAGGCUGAAGCUGAAGAUUUCUGCAAAAGAAUGAAGAGGAAACGUUUUGAUCCUGAGCAGAUGUUCUCCCUAGAUUGCUUCACCUGAGGUUGAUUGACUUUUGGAAACGAGAUUUGUUCCCAGUGCUUUGUGAGUCUCUUGUUGGAAGGACUGUCUUUAAAUUAAAGCAAUUAGAGUUACUUUAUAAGAUUUACCCAAAUAUAAGAGCUGAAGAGAAUAAUUCAAAUUGAUCAGAAGAAAAUACUCAAUUACUGACAAAUGUCAAUUACAUCAAUAGCCUAGGCUGCUCUUGAACUCCUGGGCUCAAACGAUCCUCCCCUGUCGGCCUCCCAAAGUGCUGGGAUUACAAGCUUGAACCACCAUGCCCAGCCUCAGAAAUUUUUUAAAUGACAGCUCAUACAGUUUUCUUUUAUAAAGGAGGAGAAAAUGUGUAAUUGUAAGCAGCUGAACUAAAAUAUCUCUGUGACAUUUUGCUGGUGACUCCAGCCCUGUGAGAUCUGAGUGGCUCAGGAAUCAAAUUCUCCCACAAACCUGAGGAAGCCUUUUAUUCUUAAUGCCAACAGGAUGCCCCAUGCCCAGAAUGUCAAAUCUGAACACCAAUGGAAUGCAUUUUAUAAACAAAUUGAAAAAGGACAAUCUUUAACAGAAUUGUUGUUCUCUAGGCAGAUUAGUUGUGCUUCAAAUACAAAAUGAAAUAUUAGAGAACAAAAUUAUUUUUAAACAGCUAAUACUAGUAGAAAAUAAAAGGCUGAAAAGUGC